CCUAAGACAUGCAAGUCGAACGAGAUGGCCCAGUGAAAGUUGCGUGCUUGCACAAGACUGGAUCUGGAUUACCAUCUAGUGGCAGACGGGUGAGUAACACGUGGGUGACCUGCCUUUUCGUUGGGGAUAACAGUUGGAAACGACUGCUAAUACCGAAUAAGAUAUAAGAGUCAAUUUUAUAUUGAAAGGAGCCUUUAAAGCUUCGCGAUUAGAUGGGCCUGCGGCGUAUUAACUUGUUGGUGAGGUAAUGGCUCACCAAGGUAACGAUGCGUAGCCGAACUGAGAGGUUGAUCGGCCACACUGGGACUGAGACACGGCCCAGACUCCUACGGGAGACAGCAGUUAGGAAUAUUCGUCAAUGGGGGAAACCCUGAACGAGCAAUGCCGCGUGAGUGAUGAAGGUCUUAUAGAUUGUAAAACUCUGUUGUAUGGAAAAAUGACCAGGUUAGGAAAUGAACUUGGUGUGAUGGUACCAUACCAGAAAGCCACGGCUAACUACGUG
Molecule: ribosomal RNA, 502 nt
Filed under: uncultured bacterium
Lineage: Bacteria
Description: bacterial SSU rRNA
Rfam family: Bacterial small subunit ribosomal RNA
Source: RNAcentral